GGACAGAUGGAUGAAGGUGGAAGAGGAGACGGGCUGGCGAGACGAGACUAGAUUGACCGGAGACUCCAAAGAGAAAGCAGCACACUGCUGGUGUGUACAGAUGCCAAGAAGGCGCAAAAAAUUUGCACACCAAAAGUCAGA
Salarias fasciatus (jewelled blenny) is the source of this 141-nucleotide long non-coding RNA. RefSeq lists it as uncharacterized. The transcript has 3 exons. The record is from RefSeq and is a predicted model, not a curated record. NCBI's taxonomy places the organism in Eukaryota, Metazoa, Chordata, Actinopteri, Blenniiformes, Blenniidae.